RNAcentral lists this transfer-messenger RNA (348 nucleotides) under Acutalibacteraceae. RNAcentral describes it as "UMGS1487 sp900552225 Standard tmRNA". It matches the Rfam family "transfer-messenger RNA". From Rfam's summary of the family: Bacterial tmRNA, also known as 10Sa RNA or SsrA, is named for its dual tRNA and mRNA-like properties. Its role is to liberate the mRNA from a stalled ribosome. RNAcentral also lists the same sequence under 1 other name. The record is from RNAcentral. Lineage: Bacteria; Bacillati; Bacillota; Clostridia; Eubacteriales.
GGGGGCGUAAAGGUUUCGACGGGGAUGGCGCGUCACGGUAAGCGAGUAGCGGUGCGGGCCCGCUUAAAAACCUGCAACUUUAAACAAUAAACGACAACAAUUCUGUUGCUCUCGCGGCCUAAUUAGGCUGCCGUCUCUCCCGACAGUACCGCGGGUCGGAUAGAGGCGUCGAUUAGCGGUGAACGUGAACGGGAAGAUGCCGCUCUCCCCGUCAUGACUUGGCGGCUACCGUAGUCGAAAGCCUGUUCGUCGGCGUUCGGCGAGGGGAAUCCAAAAGACGAAAUGCACUCGGAGAAAGCUGUGGCAAACUGUUUUCGGACACGGGUUCGACUCCCGUCGCCUCCACCA